UCCACCCUUCAAAUAUGUGCUGUCUUCUGUGAUAACUAUUAUAAACAGAUGGGUCCAUUUAAUGUUGCUUAUGCCUAUGUAUGUAUUUGAGUGUUUAGUGCUAUCAGUUUGGGAUUAGAUAACUUAUGAGGAGGUUUACCCCUGGAGAAAAUGCAUUCUCCCUCUCUCUACAACCAUUUAUUGCCUGUAGCUCUUGGUCUAUGGUAGCAUAUCAUAGGGGCUGUCAUGAUGCAGGUCCUAUUUGGGGAACUAUAGUGAGAUUUCACUCACUAUAUCACCCCUGCUAUGUCUUGAAGAAACUAUCUAGCAGCAUAUAUCCUGUCCCUCUGGUUCUUAUACUCUUUCCACAUCUCUACCAAAAUGUUCCUGAGUCUUAGGUAUAGGAGUUGUCUUGUACACGUACUAUUUGGAAUCUCACAGUUUGUCCUCUGACCUUCGUAUGCAAACUGAGGCAUUAUCAGUGGUGCCUCCAAAGAGAAUACGUGUGAAGAUUUGUAUUUAAUCUUCAAUUAGGUAGAUUAUUUCAUGUUGCUUUGGGUCCCCUUGUCUGUAAAUGUUCUGUUACUCCUGUCUCUCCAGGUCUUUCUAUGGUUUAAUUUCCCUUCUAGGGAAGACCCUUCAGCAGCCACCCCAUCAUCCUGUCCAUUAGAUCUAGUCACAUGUACUAAGUCCAUGCACUUUUACCCACAUCAAGCAAGGAUGCUGCAUAAGCAAUAAGCAGUACCAUGAGCUGACAGUCACUCUCUGUCCCCCUAGAAAUACCUGAACAUGAUGACAGUGUGUCUUUAUCAAAGGAGCAGAAACCACCAGAGCAAGAAAUGGAGGUGGAGUGUGGAAACCUCACAGAUAGUAUGUAUUAUGGAAUCUCUUUCAAGACACAUGUUAGAUAAGAAUUAUUUAAAUGCUCACUGUAUUUUCUACGGUAAACCAAUGUGAUAUUAGACUCCAAUUGGGAGUGAAAAUUAAAAGUUUAAGAGGAAAAAGCAAUGCCCUAAGUAGCCAGUAAUACCUAUGUGUCUGCAGUCAUUACAUUCAGCUCUGAUAACUUUAGUUAUUUUGGCAUUUUUGUGCAGGCAGUGUCUAAAAAGAUUGUUUUCCAAAACAGUUAUCCUUAUAAUACAAUCCACUUUCCAGUGACAAAUUUUUCAAUUCAAAAGGCAAGAUAUAUAUUUUUAAUUUAUUUUCCAUUUUAUAUAUCAAUCCCAGUUCCCUUCUCUCCAUCCACUCCUCAGAUAGAGUAGGCCUUCCUUGGAGGAGUAAACAAAGUCUGGCAUACCAAGUUAAGGCAGGAUCAAGCCUCUCCCCACUGUAUCAAGGAUAAACAAGGUGUCCCAUCUUAAGGAGCGGGCUCGAAAAAUCCAGUUCAUGCUCCUAGGAUAAGUUCUGGUACCACUGCCAGAACUCCCCCUCCCCAGCCCCACCAGAUCAAGUUUUACCUACAAAAAAAGUGUUCAAACCUCACCAUACAGAUGUGUGACAGAUGUGUUUUCUUGUGCAGCUUUCUGAAGAAUCUUAGACCAAAUGUAAGGUAAUCAGUCUUCGUAGUUAUAGAGAUCAGGAAGCACUUCCUACUUCAUCAAGAGCUCAAGAAUCCCUAUGUGAGAGUUACAGGUGCCCAGCAUCUGCCCGCAAUAAUCCAGCCCUAGGGAGAUGCCAGACGAUGUUGAGCCCCACAGUGGGCAGAAGGCAAGGGCAUUGCUCUUUACCUGCCUGUGAAUGCUCACAAGUACUAUAGAUGGAAAAUCCAUAAGUUUGGUCAGAUCAGAGAGAUUGACUAUAUGAGACAUUACAUUGAAAAAUAGGUUGGAUAUAUGUGAUAACUGGAUUUAUGGUAGAGACAACCCGUUCCAGUAUGAACCGGUGGAAAGGCUUAACAGAUUAGACAACAUUAACAUAAGAGCCAUACAAUUUAUGGGCAAAGUCCACUAAGAACUCCAGACACCUAGUGACUUUUGAGCUUCACUGGGCCUUUAUUUUGGAUACAUACAUGCAUAUAUAUAUAUAUAUAUAUAUAUAUAUAUAUAUAUAUGCUGGAGUUUGUAUUCCAAUAUUACUGCUAUGACUCACCAGUCUCCAUGAUGUCUGCUAAGUCUGAGCACUCAUUGGAACGAUAUGUGCAGUAGUGAGUUACUCAGGCAGAGUAUGGCUGGGUAUCAUCAUUUUGAAGAUGGUGGCUGUGUUUGAGUACCCUCACAGUCAGGAUUUGUCAGAGAGGGUCUAUGUGAGCAGGAAUGUAUAGACCAGUUGGUUUAGUGUGUUCCUAGCAUGUGCAAAGCCCUGGAUUUGAUCCCAACAACUGUGUAUGUGCCCAUGGUAACACACCUCUGUAAAUACAGUUCUUCAGAGCUGGAGUGGAGAUAAUCAUAAAUUUAAACGUAUCCUUUCAUACUAAGGAAUCUUGCAUUCAAGGUGUUUCUGGAAGUUAAAAAAAACAUAUAGGGAAGUCAGCUGGGCUCAGUUGCCCCUAUAGAGCCUGUGGCACGAAAAAGGAGUAACAUUAAUGAGUCAAAGUAGAGUGGGUAUGGUACACACUUAGUGCUAAUAUAAACUCUGCCCACUUUUAUCUGCAUUGUCCAUAUACUGUCUGAGGAUAUUUGUCAUCUAGAAAAACUCGUGCAUACAUAUCACUUAAAUGCCAAACUGCUUUUCUUAUCUGCUCAUGUUGAAGACCUAAAGAUUCGGCCAGUUGAAGAGAAGUUUCAUUUUUGUCAAACCAUCAUUCGAUAACAUGUUUUAGAAUGAUUUGGGGUCUGAGUAUUUCUAAGGGCUAUGCAAGAAUCUAUAAUCUCUCAGUGUGGUUGCUGGGUGAUCAAAAUUAAUCACUAGGAGGGAUAUGACGGGUUGUAGAUGCAGGAGAAAGAUGUCGUAUUUGUACUAAGCCAGUGCUCUCUACUUGUUUUGGAACAAACUCCAAUUUUGAGUAGUUAUUGGAAGGUAGAGAACAUGUCUCUCAGGACGCUUGUCAGAAGUUUGGUUACAGUGACAGGAAUAUAA
Long non-coding RNA from Mesocricetus auratus (golden hamster), 2994 nucleotides. RefSeq lists it as uncharacterized. The record is from RefSeq and is a predicted model, not a curated record. The transcript has 2 exons. NCBI's taxonomy places the organism in Eukaryota, Metazoa, Chordata, Mammalia, Rodentia, Cricetidae.